AUUUAGAUGAUCAAAAACGAAUUCUUCCACGACAUAGAACUGAUUUAUCGAUCAAAAAUCAACGUCAAUUA
This 71-nucleotide transfer RNA is filed under the name Pelagomonas calceolata. The record is from RNAcentral. Lineage: Eukaryota; Pelagophyceae; Pelagomonadales; Pelagomonadaceae.